ACCCUGUUGAGCUUGACUCUAGCCUCGACCUGUGAAGAGACAUGAAGGGUGUAGUAUAUGGGAGGUCGUUAUGCGCCGUCAGUGAAAUACCACUACUUUCCACGGUUUUACUGAUUCGAGUGAAGCGAGGUAGGAUGGUUCCCGAUUUCUGGACCUGAAUCUCGGCUCUCAAUCGGCGGAGAGACCGCUCCGAAGACAGCCGUCCAGGUUGGAGGUUUGACUCGGGGGCUGCGUACAUCUGUCAAGGUAACGCAGGUGUCCUAAGUGCGAGCUGCGAGGCAGAAACCCGCGAGUAAAAGUGGGCAAAAGCUGGUUGAUCUUGAUUUUCGUGACGAAUAACGACCGCGAAAGCGAGGCCUAUUCGAUCACUUGCGAUUUACGAAGCUUAUAGAGGUGUCAGAAAAGAUACACAGGGAUAACUGUUGUGGCGGCCGUAAGCUCCGCCAAGCGACGCCUUUGAUCCGAUGUCGCUUUCCUAUCAUUUGGCAGAAAUUCGCCAGCGUUGAUUGUUCACCACCACUAAUAGGUAACGGAGUGGGCUGGUAACCGUCGUGAGCAGGUUAGUUUUACCCUACUGAUGACCGGGUCGCGCGAUAGUAAUCCUGCUGUGAAGGAACCGCAGGUUCGGACAUUUGCGUACAUGUGCUUGGUCGGCCAGUGGUGCGAAGUUACUCAUCCGUGGAUAUGACUGAACGCCUCAAGUCAGAAUCCGGUUUAAAGUGCAACGAUACAGCGUUUACC
Non-coding RNA from Araneus ventricosus, 741 nucleotides. The record is from the annotation of a GenBank genome assembly. Lineage: Eukaryota; Metazoa; Arthropoda; Arachnida; Araneae; Araneidae.